GUCGAGAAUCAUUCGCAAUGGGCGCAAGCCUGACGAUGCGACGCCGCGUGUGGGAUGGAGGCCUUCGGGUUGUAAACCACUGUCACAGGGGAAGAAACGCGCGAACGCUAACAUCGUUCGCGUCUGACGUUACUCUGAGAGGAAGCCACGGCUAACUCCGUGCCAGCAGCCGCGGUAAUACGGAGGUGGCGAGCGUUGUUCGGAAUUACUGGGCGUAAAGGGUGUGUAGGCGGUCGGACGUGUUCGGUGUGAAAGCCCCCGGCUCACUCGGGGAACAGCAUCGAAAACUGUCCGGCUUGAGUGCAGGAGAGGAGAAUGGAAUUUCCGGUGUAGCGGUGAAAUGCGUAGAUAUCGGAAGGAACGCCAAUGGCGAAAGCAGUUCUCUGGCCUGUUACUGACGCUGAGGCACGAAAGCCAAGGGAGCAAACGGGAUUAGAUACCCUGGUAGUCC
RNAcentral lists this ribosomal RNA (451 nucleotides) under uncultured bacterium. RNAcentral's name for it is "bacterial SSU rRNA". It matches the Rfam family "Bacterial small subunit ribosomal RNA", at positions 354 to 796 of the family's 1533-position model. The record is from RNAcentral.